This 236-nucleotide unclassified non-coding RNA is filed under the name fungal sp. RNAcentral describes it as "partial contains small subunit ribosomal RNA, internal transcribed spacer 1, and 5.8S ribosomal RNA". The stretch from base 1 to 46 matches the Rfam family "Eukaryotic small subunit ribosomal RNA", at positions 1786 to 1831 of the family's 1831-position model. Lineage: Eukaryota; Fungi. The record is from RNAcentral. RNAcentral also lists the same sequence under 3 other names.
AAGUCGUAACAAGGUUUCCGUAGGUGAACCUGCGGAAGGAUCAUUACAGAGUUCAUGCCCUUCGGGGUAGACCUCCCACCCUUUGUAUACCUUGCCUUUGUUGCUUUGGCGGGCCGCCUUUUGGCCACCGGCUCCGGCUGGUGCGCGCCCGCCAGAGAACCCCAAACCCUGUCUUACAGUGUCGUCCGAGUACUAUAUAAUAGUUAAAACUUUCAACAACGGAUCUCUUGGUUCUG